AAACCAUUUGAUUAGCAGACGUCGGCGAAGUGUCGGCAACCAUGUUCAUGAUGGCUGCAGACGCCAAUGUGCCGAGUCCAUUUAGAUCAUUGUCGACAGUGCUUCGAAAGAUUUCGGCAUGUUAUUAACAUUAAUCAUUGUUCAAAAAAAUACAAACGCGUUUCUUCAAAUAAGGAGAACUUAACGCAUCGGCGUUUUGUCACAGGGCUCACCGGAUGCUGACGAAGAAACUAAGAGUAAUCUUCCAUUAGCACCAGAGGGAAUGAACAAGGCGGCUCCAGUUCCUGGCAUUGCUGAAUCUGUGGGAGACAUCAAAAGACGCUAUGAAGACACGGCACAGGUCCUGUUCCAGGAACGUCGCGAGAAACAGCGACCUUCGAGUUUUCUUUCUUAUGGAGAGACGAAGAAGUGCUACGCGUACAGUGGCGCGGGAAAACCGUAUGUCGACGUAAAGGAAGGAGUUCGUGCUGACCAGCAGUCAUUUCAGAGUCAGAUUUGCAGCAUCAUGUAGUGAUGGCUUAACAGUGCAGUCGUCACAGUGACCAAAAAUUGAGGCCUGAAGGCAGCAUAUGAUUCUUUUAUCCUUUUUUUUUUCUGAAUGGGAGCAUGUUACUGACACAGUUCCGCCCAUUGUGAUCCAGGGCCAGCAGCUUUUAGCAGGCCCAAUCUAGUCUUUCUCUUGGAACUGUUCACUUGAUGCUUUAAGUUUGCAGGCCCAUCUCUUCAACUCAUGCAAACCAUGCAGGCCUCGAAUCGACACCAUUGUGUGUUUGGUGACCUGUUCUUACAGAUAUGCAAACACUUCAUUGCUGCAACAGACACUUAUGUGCAUAAGGCGGUGGCACUGUGUUUUCUGCAUAUAAAGACUUUUCCCAAGCACCUUUUACAACAUUUUCUGCACAUGGUAUGUUAGUAUUCUUUAGUGUUGAAAACACAGACGCAACUCUUUUUAGCCUCAUGAUCCUCGAUUUGUGUCCUUUUAAAUAGAUCAAAGACUGUGUUUCUUUCUGUAUGUGUUACAGUGCUGAAAGGAAGGUGAUCAUGCCCAUUUGUUUUUCUUUUGAGAUGCUUUCUGUACCGAAAUGGAACCACUGCGAAAUGAACUGCAAGGACCAAACGUAAACACCACAGUUUGCGAUCCGAGUGCACUGGUCUGUGGCAAUGUUGGAAUUGGGGCAUACGCGGCAUGCCCAUGUGAAGUCGUGUUACUGGUGCGCCUAUGGGCACGAGUACAACAUGUUCCUUAAAUCCUACACCACCACACGACAGUGUCACCUUGAUUUAAGAACAGUGUGACGUUUACCUGAUAGUAUAAGAUGCUGAAAUGUGUAUUGUUCUGGUAUUGUGUGUGUGGUGCACAAGCUCUGUAAAACAUGUCGCUACUGGGGUUGGUCGAAAACAAAAAACAAACAUUAUUGUGUAUGCUUGUCCCUUUGUGCAGAGUGGAAUAGUGAAAAAUGUGGGCUGGAAAAAAGAAUGUGAAGCUAUUGCUUCUUUGUAAUACACGCACAUGUUGGUGUCAUUGUAGUAAGCAGCAAUGUGAAAAUGUGUUGCCUGUGCUUGAAAACAAAUAAUGAAAUUAGUGUGGCUAGUUGCCCCUUUUCUAUGAAAUUGCAUUUUAUGUGCAGGGUACUGAGGAAAAUGGCUCAAAGCACAGUUAAUGUGCAAUGCCAAAAUUCGUGAAUUAUCCAAAAGUAAUCCUUAAGGUGCCAAUAAGCUAAUAUGAUUGCAUUUGUAUUUGCCUCAAGCGGCUCACAAAGUUUUUCAGCAGAAUGGUCCACAAUAACCAGCUUCUCCAGUAUCGCCACCAUGAUGCACAGGCAACAACAAAAAAAUGCUAUCAAAUUGCAGUUUUAUGCACAAUAUAGUGUGAGGGGACAAGGUGAUGCAUUAUUGUGAAAGAGCUGCUAAUCUUUUACAAUGAUGGUUCACCAAUUGUGGAAUUAGGAUAUUAAUUUGCUGCACGGAACUUUAGUCAAGACAUCUGUCAAGAGCAUGCCAGCUGCCUGCUCUCCCUUCUCAUUUCCGCCAAUUCUUAAGGAGCCCCCUCGGCAGGCCCUGUUGGCAAUUUUGGUGUACACUAAGAGUUGUGAAGGGCCAUCCAGGGAGUGCUCUAGCAGAGUAAUCUUUAGAAAGAGUUUAGUAGUAGCCGAAGAUGGAAGCAAAGAGAUGUUAUAAAGCAGUGGCCUGAGGAGGCAAGCUAAGAAAGCUCUCUCACCUCGACAAGUGCCCCCAUGCAGCAUUCAUAUGCAUCCUUGUCUUUUGUCGUAACCCACGACUCCCCCCCCUCGGUCAACCUCCCUUCUUGUUGCAUGGUGCGUUUCCAGAGAAUUCUGCAUGCUCCGCACUUAACAGGAGUCCCCCCAGAUUUCUUCUCACUGCUGUAGGCUCUUUGUACACUACAGACAGUGUGCAUGUGACGUGAAAGCACCAUGCGUGUGAUGGCAUCUUGUUUACAGCCGCAGUGACUGUCUCGAGAAGAAAAGUGUGCAAGCUUUAUGUUAGAAUUUUCAAUUCUUCUCGCAGUGUACAUCAGCAUAACAUUUUGCAGACAAAAUCACCAUCGCGUGAUUAUGCAUUGCAGUUGUCUGUUCACAAUGCAAAAAGCUGAUGAGGGGCCUUUUAAAGGAAUGUUUGCCUUGGUGAAUUUAUUAAUGUGGAGGUUGAAAUAUACUUUUGCUGCUAAUGCGUGAAAUGACAAUGGAAACACCAUUUAUUUCUUCCUAAGGUGCAGAAUAAUGCAAGCCUGUUAUUUUUCUCCCGAAAUGUACGUAAGUUUUUCAGAAUCCACUUUGACAAUAUUACUCAUGCACACAAAUCAGCAUUGUCUUUUCUAUUAUGCAGAGAAAUAGCACUCUAGUUCUAGUGCAACUUGAGAGAAAAAAGAAGACAACUAGUGGUCAUGAUGGAACUUGGGCACGUUUGCAUAAUUUUUAGCUCCCUCUUUUGUGAAUGUAUUAAAAUCUAAUUAAAAAAAUUAACUGUGGGUGAAGUAUAGGAAAUGCCACAGCGAUUAUUCCUGCAUCGAGCAAAGCUCAAUAAUGCAUGCACUUUACAUUUUAUCUAUGCUACACCAUAUCGAAGCUGCAAUGUAUGCUUCAGAAGAACCAGACACAUGCUAUGAUUAACAGCAGGUAAAGAAAAAAGGCUUCAGCCUGAAGCCAGUAUUUCAACAAAGGGACUUGUAUUUUGUCAGAGGGUUUCAACAAGUCCCUUUGUCGGAAUGUCUGUUCCAGGCUACAGCUUUCCUUGUUCACCCAAUGUUAAUUGCGUCGAGUCGCCACUUCGUGUAACUGCUUUGUCUUGUUUGUAUCGGCAACAUGCAAGUCGCACAAACUGCUGCUCGUCUUUCAGUUUGAUCUAUGCAUGACUUAAAUGUGCUUUCCAGCUUGCAUGUGGCAAUAUGUGAACUUCCAUCUUACCACAAGGCUGUUGUACCUUUAGCUAAAGCAAUAUCAGAACCUUUGACUGGCACAGAACCUGUGCCAAAUAUUUAGCACCCGCAUAUAGGAAACUGGGUAACAGAAGGGUGUGUCGGCCUCAUUCCAGAGCUGUGCAUGUGGGAUCUCCAUUUAAUGUGUCCGAUUCAUAUAAAUCACCUGUACCUAAUAGUACUUCCAUACUUUCCUGCAUGAAUGCUGGAAAUUUUCACAAUUUAUAGGAUAAAAAGGCCGGGAAUGUAUCUGCAUUUGAGGCAAACUUGCAGGGUACAGUGUAGCAAGUUAAGGCAGUGCUCCUUUUUUUUUCUUUAACAUACUAAAUUUGGUUUUCUGUGCACACUUGCAGCUUCAGUCACAAUAGCUUAUAAGGAAUUCACAGCAGAUGCCAUAACAGGAAGUCGUACAUGAGGCAACCACAAUUGUGCUGGUCAUGUGCUUCGUGCUAGGUCUCUGGAUUUGUGGGUUUUCAUUGAAAUUUUCAAAGUGUGUACUUGUCCUGCUGCAUAGGCUCAUAAUAGAAGUUCUCGAAGUUCACUUUGAUGUAGCAGGUGUGUCUCGUUUAUGUGCACCACUCUUUAUAAGGUGCACCUUGUGCCUUCUUUUUUCUUUUCAUUUGCGGUUUGACUGUAUUCUUGUUGACAGCAAUAGGCAUUCAAAAAUCUUUUAACCUUAUCCACAAUGCAAAAACACAUUUACAAUUUGUCCGAAUCCUGCUUUUAUGGCUUGGAAAACAGCAGGAAAUGCUUAGCUCUUUGGAAGUCAGAGGAAGCUUGUGUAAAGCAGCAAAAAUCUUGUCACAUUAUUACAAGUUCUCAGCUUGUCAUCUUUGUUUUGGCACUGGCUGUGCUAUCAAUGCACACCAUGGCCUUUUGCUUGUAUUAGAAGCAGUGGCCGAGAUAUUUAAAGGUCUUUUCAUAUAAGUUGUCGCAGUGUGUUACGACCCCGGACCUUCCAGUCAAAAACAGUGGCACACAUUGAAGCAAAAUUUGUCUUUGAAGAGCACAGUAGAUGUCCAAGGCUACACUGUAAGCAGGCAAGAGUGCAUCGUAAAAAAAUUUUGAACAGGGAACCUGUUCAAGUAUUGAGCCAGUGGAGAUGAAAAUGCAGUAGUUUAAGGGGACACUAAAGGGAAACAUUAAUCCAGUUUAUACCGACACUGUAUGCUUUAAAAACUAUAUUUUUAUUAAUCUCAUGGUAAGUGGUUGAUCGCUAGAAGAAAAAAAAUGGAGGCCAAAGUUAUAUUUAAACAUUUGGUACCAAAAGUCCAAUGCUGUUAUGUCAAUGUAAUAUCACCAAUUUGAAGGUAUUUCGUCGCAUUUGGGCUGUUGUGGUUCAGUAAAAGCUUUCUUAGCCUGCCAAGUUUAGUCUAUGGCUCCUUUAGAAUGUAAUAUAGUCAGUCUUUAUCGAUUAAGUAGGCCCGAGCAGACGCUGUCAAAAUCUACGGUGUCGCGAUGAGCUGGUGUGGGAACUUCACGGCGGCAUUGCCACCUGUCUUUUGUUUUUUGCAACCUUUAUGGCGUACCAAACCACCUUUCAUGGUAAGGGUGGCUUAUUUUGGAAUUGAAGAAAGGUAAUUUAAUAAUGCAGUGCAAAUUAACUUUCUCUUGAGUUUUCUUUUAGUGUUCACUGCCUGUUCUAUGCAGUUCACUCACCUCCAAACUGUUGUGGCUUACAUUGGCACUCUUAAUGUGCUAGCAGAUUUUGCUAGUAAAUUUCUUUGAUAUGCUUGCUGUGUGGACGUAGCCACAUAGUUGUAGCACAGCACAUACUAUUGAACACAAUGUGCACUGUAAUACAUCAUCGUAGCAUCACUGUUCAUGCGGUGUUUGUAUUGUGCAAUGCAGUACACAUUUAUCAAAACCUACAUGCCAGAAUGCGGUGUCUGUGCAUGUAGUUUGCUAAUAAUGGUAGGGUCACUUGUUCAGCAGCACAUGAAAAAAAAGCAGUACAUUAAAAAUGAGUGAGUUUGAGUUGCUGUAGCACUCAGUGACUGAUUCAGUAAUGCGAGUCAUGGAGCUGUUCAGUGUACGAUGUAUGGUGCUUUAGGUGCAUGUUAAAAAUCCACGUGUGGUCAAAAAUAAUGUAACCCCCAUUAUAGUAUCCCUCGUAACCCCACUGUGCAAGUUCCAAGGUGUUAAACCCUGCCAUUUUUUUUACUUUUUUUGUACAUGCAGACUUAUAAGAAGAGAGCAGUAGAUGGCACUAUAGUAGAAGAUACAAAGCGCUUGACAACUGCCGCUUAUUCUCUGUCAGUAUAUAGCUACAUCGCAGUCAAACCUAGCUAUUUACGGAGCAUCCAGGCUACCAAAAAAAAAGAAAUAGUGAUCUAUGACUGCAUGAAUCCCCCAAGUUUUUUCUAUAUCUAGCUUCCUUGAACGUUUCUUUUAUAACUACUUCUUGUGCAUGAAAACCUGUUGCCUUGCUGACCUUCAAGUAAAACGCCCAUGCAAUGCGUGGUGCAGCUGCCUGGCAUGAUGGUGGACAUCUGCAUCAGCAAAGCACAUCACACUCACCCCAAAGUUGAAGGGGCAAGUAGGUACAUUAUUUUGCAAUACUUUGUCAGUUAAUCAGGAACACUUAAAUGGCAAAACAACUCAUCGGUGUCAUGAACCUGGAUCCAGCUUCCGGUACUUUCAUUUCUCUUUGUAAACCAAGUGUAAUGUGUCCAACCAGUCGGUUUUCUUUGACCCAAUGUUUCUGCGCCAACGGUGCUCCUUCCUCGGGGGUUGACAACAGAUCGGAAGCAGUGCAGCUUUAAACAAAGUACAAAAUAAGCUUGAGAAGGAGCUAAGGAGUGAUAGAACGAGAAAUUAUAGGUGUAACGUUAAGAGAUGGUAAGACGGCAGUGUGGAUUAGAGAGCUAAUGGCAGAGCCGAUAUUCUAGUUGAAAUUAAGAGAAAGAAAUGAAGUUGGGCAGCUAUUGUAAAGCGUGGAGCAGAUGGCAGGUGAUCUAUUAGAGUUACAGAAUGGGUGCCAAGAGAAGGGAAGUGCAGUCAAGCAUUGCAGAGAAGUAAGUGGUGUGAUGAAUUGGGAAAUUCGUGCAAGCAUAAGGGGUCAGUUGGCACAAGGUGGGGGUAAUUGGAGAUCAAUGAGACAGCCCUUUGUCCUAUAUAAUAUCAAGUAGGCUAAUGAUGAACUACAAAGAAAGCUACUGAGGGCAGGCUUUUAGCACUGUCUGGCACAGUCUUAUUUUUUUCCAUUAUAUUUUAGAUGAGCAAGCAAGGCAAAUGAGGGUGCAUAUAUAAGGGGGAAGCAGCAGUGGUGACAUGGUUGGGGAUACCAUUGCCAAGACGUUACCUCAUCUGUUUCCCAUUAUGAAGUACAGGCCAUGAACAUACACUAGUGAGUGAACGAAAGAAAUUGUGCUUUGUGAAAAAUUCAUGUGCACUUAAAACGCCAUCGGUUGCCGUUUUCAAUAUUGUCCUAUAGUAUGUUUGCUUUUUACACUAGAAGGACAAGGGAUAAGAUUUUCUUCAUUGCUGCUGCCACAGCUCCACUUUUUACUUUGUUCAUUUCAUGGUGCUUAUUGUUGCCUAUAUUAUCGAGUUUGUGUGCUAGUACAUUUUGCUUGUGUGUGUUGUAUGUGUGCGCUUUUCUUGCUUUUUUUUUUCUCAUUCUCCUCAAUUAUUUCCUAUUGCGCCUGGAUUAGCAUGUAAAGCCUGUUGCUAGACUAAUCCCUCUUGUUAUCCUUAACUUUUCUGACUCACAAGUGCAUUUUGUGACAUACUGGUUGAUGGGUAUGGUUUCAUUGUGAUACAUUUUUUGAAUAUGCAAGCUUUCUAGGCUAUGGGUAGCCUACUUGAUAAAAAUAAUGUGUUGGUGAGUGUUCAAGAGGCUAUUGUAUAAGGCUAGGGGUACGAGGCGACACAGCGACUUCUUCAGAAUAGUCUAGCUCAGAAGACAGCAAAUUGCAAAAUAUACAUAUUUUUGUCCACUAGUGUACAUGGCAGCACAUGACAAGAAGAACAGGAAGAUGCGGUGUCAGACAGCGGUUCAUCAGCCACUGUUUCUCCUUGUGAGCGUGGUUUAUAUUGUGCAGUGCAUUGACCACGAAGCAUGCUGUUUGCACAUUAUUUAGUUUUGUUCCAAAAUCACUGAAUGAUUAGAUGAACGUCGCCACUUUGUGAGCUGAUUUCUAUGCAAAACGUUAAUAAACCUUUACAUUAGUUCAA
This 7612-nucleotide long non-coding RNA is filed under the name Dermacentor andersoni. RNAcentral describes it as "uncharacterized LOC126548048". Lineage: Eukaryota; Metazoa; Arthropoda; Arachnida; Ixodida; Ixodidae. The record is from RNAcentral.